This 422-nucleotide long non-coding RNA is filed under the name Sander lucioperca (pikeperch). Its description in RNAcentral is "lncRNA (ENSSLUG00000008891.1)". Lineage: Eukaryota; Metazoa; Chordata; Actinopteri; Perciformes; Percidae. The record is from RNAcentral.
GGAAACCAGCAAAGUGGUCAAGUGAGUCAGUUCAUCAGCUACUUCAAGCAUGGAUGUAUUACCGAACAACUCAUAUCCUACUCCGCCCACACGUGAUGGAGUCAACUGUGCUCAAUGCCGGCGCACCCUUCGCAAAAUGGCGAUUCAGACCUUCAUCACCCAUUCCCAAAUGACUCCACUGCGGGUGUCAGGGAUAAUUGCUUUACUUCACACAGACUUCACCAAGCCAGACAGACAAAGUGGCAUUUCCUGACUGUUCCCAUCCCCGUCUGAGUUAUCUGACACCCAAAAAUACGGCUACGGGGAAGCAGGGAGACGAGGCACCACAGCCUUAUCCCGGUAAGGAGAUGGCUUCUUAUCAGAUCAAGCUAGGAAGUUUAUUUUAUGGAGUAAAUCUGUAUAGAGGGGAUAAAGAAAUGACA